UAUGACCAAAUUGUGAUCUUUAUUUCAAUUUUGAUCAACUUCUUAACUUUCAGAUCUCAACCGUCGAUCAAAAAAUGAUCUAACGGCUAAGAUCAAAGUAUCCAUUCCUUCCUUUUAAAAAAACAAACAAAAACCCUAGACCUAAAAUAUUUUUCAAACCAGCCCCCCCCCCCUUCUCCCUCUUCUUUUUUCUCCAAACCCAUCAAAACCACCAUUUCCGACCACCUUCCAACCGGAGAUCCCCAUCUCCCUGCCAGCCAUAACCAACGCCGGACAUGCCAGAGAAAAAGGUCAGCCUUCCGCCACCAGUCGCCGCGGCGCAGCUGGCGAGGCCAGCCACCACGCUGGCCUCCAUCGAAUCAGCAAUCCUAGCACCGAUCACCAGCGCCACAGCCAUCACUGGCCGGCAGAAGUUGCACCCGCAGAAACCCACCAACUUUGAGAAGCUUUAACAAAGACGAGCAUCUCGUAUGGUUCGUCAGUGACUUCCCGUGGCUGAGAUCGAGUUAACUGAUAAGAUGGAACCUGAUUAUAGUUGGAUAUAUCAACGAAAUAUUGAUAACAGAAUGGGUGAUGCUGAGAUUGAAGAUACGGAUGAUGAGUUGUAGUUUUUAGUCUUUUGUAUGUUUUAUAGUUUGGAUUUGGAACCUCGAUAAAUUUUAUAAAUAAUUUAAUUUUUAAUGUUUGUAUUCUUAUGGUGGUUGAUUGAUUGUAUAUUAAAUGAUUGGUAGGUUGUAUUAUAAAUAAUUUGAUUUGA
Capsicum annuum is the source of this 757-nucleotide long non-coding RNA. RefSeq lists it as uncharacterized. The transcript is spliced from 2 exons. The record is from RefSeq and is a predicted model, not a curated record. Lineage: Eukaryota; Viridiplantae; Streptophyta; Magnoliopsida; Solanales; Solanaceae.